GAAUCUUGCGCAAUGGGCGAAAGCCUGACGCAGCGACGCCGCGUGUGGGAUGACGGUCUUCGGAUUGUAAACCACUGUCGGGAGGGCCGAAGCUCUGACGGUACCUCCAGAGGAAGCACCGGCUAACUCUGUCCCAGCCGCCGCGGUAAUACAGAGGGUGCGAGCGUUGUCCGGAAUUACUGGGCGUAAAGGGCGCGUAGGCGGCUUGGUAAGUAGGGGGUGAAAUCUUGCGGCUCAACUGCAAGGCUGCCUCCUAGACUGCCGGGCUUGAGCACGGUAGAGGCAGAUGGAAUUCCCGGUGUAGCGGUGGAAUGCGUAGAGAUCGGGAAGAACAUCGGUGGCGAAGGCGAUCUGCUGGGCCGUUGCUGACGCUGAGGCGCGACAGCGUGGGGAGCAAACAGG
RNAcentral lists this ribosomal RNA (402 nucleotides) under uncultured bacterium. RNAcentral's name for it is "bacterial SSU rRNA". It matches the Rfam family "Bacterial small subunit ribosomal RNA", at positions 359 to 776 of the family's 1533-position model. The record is from RNAcentral.